RNAcentral lists this non-coding RNA (25 nucleotides) under Mus musculus (house mouse). The record is from RNAcentral. Lineage: Eukaryota; Metazoa; Chordata; Mammalia; Rodentia; Muridae.
UGAUAGGUUAGCUUUCCUUCCGUGA